AUGUGGAUCCGUGACGACGCUCUCUCAUGUAUGAUAUGCGUGAGGGAAUGGAGGGAAGCAGAGGAGGAGGUGGAGGAGGGCUUAGAUUCAAAUUCCAUCGUCCGGAGAUGUGCUCAGGUAUGCAAGAAUCGGGCAGACCGGGAGCUGUUGAAUCUAGCGAGGAGGAUCUACUUCGAGGGCACUAUGAAGGAGAAGUGUUGGAUGCCGCACCCAUCAGAGACGCGGUAUCGUUCGUCAACUAGGCGAAACAUGAAGAGAAAUCAGGGGAUCCGAAGCGUGCGACGUGGUGGGAAUGCAUUGUUGGGAUGA
This 309-nucleotide ribosomal RNA is filed under the name Triticum aestivum (bread wheat). RNAcentral describes it as "partial small subunit ribosomal RNA". Lineage: Eukaryota; Viridiplantae; Streptophyta; Magnoliopsida; Poales; Poaceae. The record is from RNAcentral.